UCUCCCAUCGCCGCCUGCUCCCACCUUUUCCUCUCUUCUUUUUCCUCCUUCCCCACACCAAAGGACAACCAUGGCAGACGAAGCCCACAUCCCUCUCGUCCUUUUCUCACUAUUCAUAACGUCACCAUGGUACUCGAAGCCAUGGAAAAGCUUCCACUCCACCGAAUCCUCAACGAGUAGUUUCGAAUCUAGGGAAUCAAAGUUGAAAUUGAUUCAAACACUCUUGGACCCAUUUCGUUGCUCAAAAUCAAGUGUAUACAGAUGAGUGGAAGACAUUGGCUAUAGGAUGUCCCCAUGCUACCACCUGGAUUGGCGAGCUCCAUCUCAGUUCGGAGUGUUGCCUGGUCAAAGUACUUAUGUCAUGGUAUUUUGUAUAUGUUAGAAACUUUGCAGACAGUGUCCUGUGGAUAGGGCGUCGAGAAGUGCGAAUCAUUUGAAGAUUUUAAAAGAGUUUCGAUAGAGCGAAUGUUUAAGGGUUCGCUCGACUCUGAUGAGAGUCGGGUGCCCGUCAUGCCCUAUCAAGAUUAGGGUGUGACAGGGCCAUUGCACGUUUGCUUUCUUGAUGCCAAGAGGGACAUUCAUACAAACUGCCGAGAGGGCCAUUCGUACAAACUACCGAGAGGGCCAUUGUAUGUUUACUUUCUUGCUGCCAAGAGGGCCAGUCAUAAAAACUGCCUAGAGGGCCAUUCAUACAAACUGCCGAGAGGGUCAUUCAUGCAAACUGCCAAGAGGGACAUUCAUACAAAUGUCAUGAAAAUAUCUGCAAUAUUUUUGAAUUUCAGAAGCAGGUGCACAACCUCCAAAAAGGCGCCAGUGUGCUGAACCUGAUCCAGACGAAUUGCCGAGCAAAUGUGGAACUUUUCUUACGCAGCCGGUCAAGAUAGGGUGCCGAUGAGAGUCAAGCUCUCCGGCCAGGACUUGGAAGCCAUCCAAUCUCAGACUUAGCCACAAUCUGUCUAUUUUAUUAAAAAUCGCGACCGGUCAGAUACACACCAGCGAAAUCUGAAAGUAUUCCCGCAAAAGGGACAUACUCUUCUCAGCGAGUCGAACUACAUGUGGCCUGAUUCUUAGAGGCUAGGGAUAUGUAGGCAGGCUCAAAUUCAGAGAGUCGGCCACACCCUGACAACCGUCCAGAGAAACCCCGAUCACAACACCGGGAAUCUCAGGAAUUUCCUGCAAAAUCACUUGAAAGUCUUUGACUGAGUCGAACUAAAGGUGUCAUGAAUUCUUGUAUAGCCCAAGAUAUGUAGGAAACCCAGAAGCCAGGGUCUGGCCGCAUAUGUGAAUUCCAUGAAAUUGAAGGGUAAGAUGAAUCAGGUCCGUCAAAAAUUAGGGUUAGUCAAAUUUCGUAGCUCAGGGAUGGUCUCGCCAUCCCCGAACACCGAAGGGGCAGUUGUUGAUACCUAGUUUUUGACCUCCCAUAAUUUAUUUUAAUUGCAUAGAGUCCUUGGAUAACAAAUAAAAUGAGUUGUGCAUCUUAAAUGGUCUAAAUAAUUUUUUAUAAAAUUAUUCAGGAUAAUAUUUUGCCUCUUUAAAUUGAUAAAGAGAAUUUUAGGGCAUUAUAAAUUAUGUGAAAAUUAAUUGAUUAUCGAAUAUUUUUUUGGAAUUACUCAAAAAAACAAAACAAUUUUGAAUAAAAAUUUACUUAAUUGUUGAAUCAAGGAAAAAUCUAAUAGAUAAAUAAUUUAUUCUAUUUUUUAUCCAAGGUAAUUUGUGUAAUUAAGGGAAUUGACCAUUUUACCCCUCAACCUUUGAUUCUGUGUGUUUGCAUAGUUGUUUAAUGAAUAAAUUAUUUUGGUAAUUUAAUUUUGUUAAUUAGAGGGGUCAUUUUGCAAAUUGAUUUUGAUUAGUUAAUUAUUUUUAGAUAAGUGACCACAAUUGAAUUAACCAAUUCAUGGUUUAAAGUGAUUGGGAUAAUUUUGCAAAUUUAGCCUCCUAAUGGUUUUGAUUGAGAUGACCAAAUCCAUGGGCAAAUCAAUUGAGGUCAUUAGCGCAAAUUAGCUUUAAUUGGUCAAUUAGUACCAAAAUAAGGAUAUAAUUGAAAUAAUUAAUCAGAUUAAGAUUAGUCAAGGAUAUUUUUACAGUUAGCUAGAUAAAAGGUUACAAUUGCAAAAAAUCAUUUAGGUUUAAAGCCAAUUGAGGCCAUAUCUGUAAAAAAGGGUUAAUAACUGAUAUUUUAGCUUGGGCCAUUUAUUAGACUACAUAUUUGGUCCUUCAUACCUAUAUAUACACUAUGUAUACAUAUGUAUACAUUUGUGUGUAUAUAUAUGUCAAAAGAGGCCUCUUUCAUUUUUUUUUAAAGAGUAGGACUGAGUCCAGUCCAUAAUGGACCAGACCCGGCCCAUAUAGCAUUUAAAGGGGGGGGGGUAUACGUAUACCCUCCCCUCAUUUCCUACUUCACAGACCCUACAGGUCUCAGUGUAAAAGAAAAAGAGGCGAGGCGGCUAGGGCAAAACCCUAGCACCGCCUCUACCACUGGCCCACCCCUCUUUUUUCCUCGCCGUGUCCCAUCAUAGAUGGACUGUAGAACGUGGGAAAUCUGAGAAGAGGAUGAAGCAUUAAUGGCUUCGUCCUUUUCCAUACGCCUUCUCCACAAAAUCCAUCCAAACGCUCCCUUAAGGUACAAUCCUUGCAAUUUAUUUAUUUAUUUAUCGUUGAUUUAUAGUGGUUUUAAGGUGAAAAUGAGUCAUUGAUUGUAGUUUCCUUUUGAUCUGGAUAGUAUACGGUUGAAUUCAAGUGAAGACUUGUGGAAAACCUACAACUCCCAUAUCGGUUUUGUAAGAUUUGAGACAAGUUUUCGGGUUAUAUAAAUAGAAACCCAUCCCUCACCAUUAAAACAAGUUUGACAACCUUAACAGGCUUGAACUUUGAGCCUUACUCGAAAUUUAGGCUUCACUAAGUGCUAUUUAGACUUUAACUAAAAGGUUUGAGUCUUUUCUAGUUCUAAAAUUUUGUUUCUUUUCCGUGUCCUGUAUUUUGUGUGGCUGAGUUCAAUUUUAGAAGCACGAAGGAGGCUCCAAGUCCAUUCUUGCUCUGGUUGCACUCAAGAAAGGUAACAAUUUACUAUUUUAUUGCUUUUUUUUAUUUAAGUUCCUACCUAAGUUAAUGAUAGUUUGGUGUGGUUGAGCAUUAUAUGUGUAGUUAAAUGUAGUCUUGUAUUAGUAAUAUGCUUAGUUUGAUGUUUAUUGCUUAAGCAAUGAUUUUUGGCUUGUGUUAUACUAAAGGUUCGUCAAUCCCAUACUUGUUUGAUGGCUUCUGAUUAUGAUAACUUGGCUUAGAUAGUGAUUAUUAUGACCUAUUUGAAUUGAUCUCUGAGUGAUAUUGUUUGAAUGGGAGUGCAUCUGGGUAGUUUGAAGGGUCUUUGGCACUGUUAAUGAAAAGUGGACUUAGAACAGCCUUAAGAGGAUCUUUGUUUUGUCUAAAAUGGUUAACCGACUUGUAAAACAGGUUUGUUAAGUAUGGAUAGUAGUCAUACUUGGUUUAACUUAAAUGAUGAGAUGCCAGAUUCUCAAAAUGACAUUAGGAAAGAAUUUCAAAAGGGUGGCAGGUUAACAUAAAGUAUGUAUGUGCUAUGUGUAGAGAAGUUAUCUUCACCAAUAUUGCUCAUUUAAGUCUUGAGAAUUAAAAAAGAUAAAAGAAGAAGGGAAAGUUUUGGUACAACUUUGUCCAGGUCCUUUUGUGAAUCUGUUUGUACUAUUUUGGAUGUUGUGGUCUAACUGUUAAAAUGAAUAGUAGUCACAGCCAAGAGGGAGACUAAUGAUGAUAUUUAGGAUUUUUGUAAAGCUAAAAUGAGUUGCAUUUGAUCCUGUCUUGCUUUGUUAUGUGUGAAUUAGUCCUGAAGGAGAACAUAUAUGCUUUGAGAUGCUGUGUGAUAUAAAGAACAAAAUCAUUUCUUGAGGAGAGCUUUGGAUUGAGAUUGUCUUGAACAUGAAUAUAUGUCACUGUCACCUAAAUAUUUAUGCUAGGUCUGUUUUAGUGAUCGUGCUUGUAACUUGGCCAUAAGACUUUUAAAGUUUGGAUAGGGUUUAAUGAGUCAACUGUGGUAAACUUGUGAUAGUGAUAAGCUAUUCUAAACCUUCCCAAGGCUCCUAGUGUUGUCACUAGGGUAUGAGGAUGAGGUCAGAAAAGGGAAAGGUCUUGGGAGAGUAAAAGGUGAGCCUGGGCAUGAGCUGGAGGUAGUAUAACCAUUGGAACCCGGGAUCCCUUUUUACUGAAAGGAGAUUCAGGAAAAGGAAAUGGGGAGGUGAUGACGCCACCCUAUCUUGCUUCCCUUUCAGGACCCUAAGGCUUCUUCUCAUUCUUUGAACCUUCUUCUCAUGGUUCUGGGACACACAAGGACCUCAGGUGGAUUAGGAAAGCUUAGCUACAUCUAGGGAAGGGAUACACCUAGAGUUAAAUAAUGUUUUGGCAGUACUUGUAACGCUUAAGUCACGUAUUUUCACUAUGUCUUCUAAAAUAGAUUUUAAUAUUGGGUGAUUGGUUGUUUGUGCUGUUGUUGUCUGAGUUUGGGGUUUGGUAGAGAAAUAGGAUUAGGGAGUGUACUAGUGGUAAUCCAAGCCAAUAUCCUAGAGGGACUGAGUAAUAACCUUGUUGCUUGCCAUUGGUUUUUACUUAUGAUCAUGUGCAUUCUAAUUCUCCUUAACUUGUGCACCUAUACUUUGCACUUAGGAAACUGUUUAUUUGUGAUGAUGAUUGAGUCUUUGAUUAUGAAAACCUGACCAUGCUAUAAACUUUUUUCUUUUUUCCUUUUUUUGAAAGAUUUGCUAAGAUUAAAUAUUUGAAGAACCAUUACUAGGAACUAAAAUUGAUUCAAGCCUAUUUUGACUGAUUGCUUACAUAAUAUGCUCCUUAAAUUCGUUUUCCUAAAGGUUCUGAGGGUACAUCUAUGCGUGAAUUGACAUUGGUUCUAGUUAGCAGACUUGUUUGUUAUAUUCUGGGAUUUGUAAAAAGGUUUGCGAGCUAAAACCACUAAGUCUAAAUGUGUGCUUUAAGUCACAAACUCUUCCAAUGCUUUUUUUUUUUAAAAUGAAUUAAUGUAAUGCCCAAGGUGAAAACCUGCCUGUUGUGCCCUCUCUAGACUUGUUUUGUACCUCUGAUUUGAGAUUCUAAUGGUUUGCUUAUAUGGUUAAUGUCACUACUUGAUUGUUUGGCUUUCUGCUUCUAUGAGAAUGCUCUGCCUAUGUACUGAACUACUAUUUCUUGAUAAUUAUGUUGUGUACAUCCCUGGGGCUGGUUUGAAUUGGGCUUAUUACAUGGCAUGACCUAUAGGGAGUGUAGACUAAUUUGUGGUAAUUCUAGGAAGUUAAAAGGGCCUUAGUAACCUGUUAAUGGUGAGCUGACCCAUGCUAUGAUUCUGAAUUAGCUUAGUGAUGCCUUGAGGAGUCUG
Lycium barbarum (goji berry) is the source of this 5386-nucleotide RNA transcript. RefSeq lists it as uncharacterized. The transcript has 4 exons. NCBI's taxonomy places the organism in Eukaryota, Viridiplantae, Streptophyta, Magnoliopsida, Solanales, Solanaceae. The record is from RefSeq and is a predicted model, not a curated record.